RNAcentral lists this non-coding RNA (56 nucleotides) under Streptosporangium amethystogenes. Its description in RNAcentral is "L17-Actino-Proteobacteria ribosomal protein leader". It matches the Rfam family "L17-Actino-Proteobacteria ribosomal protein leader". Lineage: Bacteria; Bacillati; Actinomycetota; Actinomycetes; Streptosporangiales; Streptosporangiaceae. The record is from RNAcentral.
CGGGGAUCGUGCGCGACUCCCCGGCCCGACCCCGGUACCUCGUACGGCCGGGGCGG